GUACGACAAGUAGGAAGGGGCAGCUAGUUUGGUGUAUCAGUUUAUAUCAUCAGUCUCACGCUCUUCGUAUUCUCCGUCCUUCCCCUACCACUCUCUCCCUAUUUUAACCCCAUUUUCUUCUCCCCUCUCUCUCCUCCUCCUCUGCGCAGUCACAUUCUCUCACUCUCUUUUCCUCUCAUUUCUCUCUCCUCUCUUCAAUGGCUUCCAUCACCGGAUCAUCCGUUUCCAUCAACUGUCGCGCACAAACCCGUUUCCCUUCUUCGUUUACAUCCAAGAACUAUGCCUUGGUGCCAUCUGUGUCAUUCUCAAGGACAAGCCCAAUGAAGUCGAUUCGCUUGAGUGUCUCUUGUGCUGCAAAACCAGGACAGUUGAAAAGGUCAGUUGUAUAGUGAAGAAGCAAUUGGCUUGGCGGAUGAAACUCAAGUCACUGGUGAAACAAAUUUU
RNA transcript from Beta vulgaris subsp. vulgaris (sugar beet), 444 nucleotides. RefSeq lists it as uncharacterized. The transcript has 3 exons. The record is from RefSeq and is a predicted model, not a curated record. NCBI's taxonomy places the organism in Eukaryota, Viridiplantae, Streptophyta, Magnoliopsida, Caryophyllales, Amaranthaceae.